UGCCUAAUACAUGCAAGUCGAGCGCGGGAAGCAUGCGGAUCUCUUCGGAGUGAAGGAUGUGGAACGAGCGGCGGACGGGUGAGUAACACGUGGGCAACCUGCCUGUAAGACUGGGAUAACCCCGGGAAACCGGAGCUAAUACCGGAUGAUUUUGGUCACCGCAUGGUGAGCGAAUAAAAGAUGGUUUCGGCCAUCACUUACAGAGGGGCCCGCGGCGCAUUAGCUCGUUGGUAAGGUAACGGCUUACCAAGGCAUCGAUGCGUAGCCGACCUGAGAGGGUGAUCGGCCACACUGGGACUGAGACACGGCCCAGACUCCUACGGGAGGCAGCAGUAGGGAAUCUUCCGCAAUGGACGAAAGUCUGACGGAGCAACGCCGCGUGAGUGAGGAAGGUUUUCGGAUCGUAAAGCUC
RNAcentral lists this ribosomal RNA (412 nucleotides) under uncultured organism. RNAcentral's name for it is "bacterial SSU rRNA". It matches the Rfam family "Bacterial small subunit ribosomal RNA", at positions 45 to 433 of the family's 1533-position model. The record is from RNAcentral.